GAACAUCUGUGCCAAACUAAGGUUGUGACGAACAGUUAAUGUUGAACGAUUUAAAAGAACAUUCCAUUUAGUUCGCCACCAACACAUUUUUUAUAAAAAUGGAUGCGACUAAACGGACGGUCAUUUUCACAGUGGCUUCCGCGAUAUUAGAGGACUUCACUGAUAAUGGUGCUCCUGAUCUGGUGAUUAGCAUGUGGCCCUGCCCCUUAAAUAAGGGAGGCUGGAGGAGGAGGAGCUCUCUCUCCAAGAUGAAGCAGCCUUCCUGACCAUCUUAGUGUUUUGUUUUUUUUGCUCCUUACUUUGUGUUUAUUUCCUUUUGAGGAUGGAGGUCUGGUAGGUCAGUUUUCGCAGCUUUAUUUGUUAGUUUAGUUAUGCACUGUUUUUGGAAGUUUAUGGGGGGGGAGGUUUUGGGUUCGACGGCCCAUUGUGUGGUUGGCCCAGAUUUCUCCAUUCUUUUGUUCUGUUUGGCCAGGCCUCCAGACUCCCAUAGUUUUGGUUAAUUAAUGGCAACUGUUUAUAAAUAAAGUCUUUUUGCUUUGAAACUAA
Molecule: long non-coding RNA, 546 nt
Organism: Anguilla rostrata (American eel)
Lineage: Eukaryota; Metazoa; Chordata; Actinopteri; Anguilliformes; Anguillidae
Exons: 2
Source: RefSeq, a predicted model, not a curated record